This 535-nucleotide ribosomal RNA is filed under the name Nacobbus aberrans. RNAcentral describes it as "bacterial SSU rRNA". It matches the Rfam family "Eukaryotic small subunit ribosomal RNA", at positions 713 to 1188 of the family's 1831-position model. The record is from RNAcentral. Lineage: Eukaryota; Metazoa; Nematoda; Chromadorea; Rhabditida; Pratylenchidae.
ACAAACACUCUGGAAUGGCGUCCCGGUCCGCCCUCACGGGCGUGCACUGGAAUCGCCGGUUUCCGAUCAAAUACAGCCAGCGCCCUUCACCGGGUGUCUGGUAAGGAGAUAAAGUUUACCCUCACAAACCACAUGGUCUUAACAGGCGCUAUCACUUGAAUGUUUUUGCAUGGAAUCUUAUUAGAAGAUAUUCAAUUCCAUUUUAUUGGCUUUAUUAACUGAGAUAAUGGCUAACAGAGACAAACGGGGGCAUUCGUAUUGCUCCGUGAGAGGUGAAAUUCUUGGACCGUAUCAAGACGGACUACAGCGAAUGUAUUUGCCUAGAAUGUCUUCAUUAAUCAAGAACGAAAGUCAGAGGUUCGAAGGCGAUCAGAUACCGCCCUAUUCUGACCGUAAACGAUGCCAACUAGCGAUCCGCCGGGGAAUUUUGCCCUGGUGGGAGCUCCCGGAAAGAAAGCUUCCGGUCCGGGGGAAAAUGGAUGCAAGCUGAUACUUUAGGAAUUACGGAAGGGCCCACCAGUAGUGGAGCCUGCGG